AUUGAACGCUGGCGGUAUGCCUUACACAUGCAAGUCGAACGGCAGCACAGUCAUCGCUUUCGCGUAGGGUGGCCGAGGGGCGGGUGGUGGAUCGAAACAUGGGAAUCUGCGGGUGCUAGGGGGGUGACGGAGGGAAACAUACGCCAAUACCGCAGACGGCGUACGGGGGGAAGCAGGAGGUCUUCCGAUCUUGCACCGGUGGAUGACGCGAUGUCGGAUUAGCUAGUUGGCGGGGUAAAGGCCCACCAAGGCGACGAUCCGUAGCUGGUCUGAGAGGACGACCAGCCACACUGGAACUGAGACACGGUCCAGACUCCUACGGGAGGCAGCAGUGGGGAAUAUUGGACAAUGGGCGCAAGCCUGAUCCAGCCAUGCCGCGUGCGGGAAGAAGGCCUUCGGGUUGUAAACCGCUUUUGUUCGGGAAGAAAAGCUGUAGGCUAAUACCCCGGUGUGAUGACGGUACCGAAAGAAUAAGCACCGGCUAACUUCGUG
This 492-nucleotide ribosomal RNA is filed under the name uncultured bacterium. Its description in RNAcentral is "partial 16S ribosomal RNA". It matches the Rfam family "Bacterial small subunit ribosomal RNA", at positions 29 to 507 of the family's 1533-position model. The record is from RNAcentral.